Molecule: ribosomal RNA, 468 nt
Filed under: uncultured bacterium
Lineage: Bacteria
Description: partial 16S ribosomal RNA
Rfam family: Bacterial small subunit ribosomal RNA
Source: RNAcentral
GACGAACGCUGGCGGCGUGCUUAACACAUGCAAGUCGAACGGAAAGGCCCUGCUUUUGUGGGGUGCUCGAGUGGCGAACGGGUGAGUAACACGUGAGUAACCUGCCCUUGACUUUGGGAUAACUUCAGGAAACUGUGGCUAAUACCGGAUAGGAGCUCCUGCUGCAUGGUGGGGGUUGGAAAGUUUCGGCGGCUGGGGAUGGACUCGCGGCUUAUCAGCUUGUUGGUGGGGUAGUGGCUUACCAAGGCUUUGACGGGUAGCCGGCCUGAGAGGGUGACCGGGCACAUUGGGACUGAGAAACGGCCCAGACUCCUACGGGAGGCAGCAGUGGGGAAUAUUGCGCAAUGGGCGGAAGCAUGAUGCAGGAACGCCGCGUGCGAGAGGACGGUCUUCGGGGUGUAACCCGCUUUCGCCUGUGACGAAGCGUGAGUGACGGUAAUGGGUAAAGAAGCACCGGCUAACUACGUG